Molecule: ribosomal RNA, 422 nt
Filed under: uncultured bacterium
Lineage: Bacteria
Description: bacterial SSU rRNA
Rfam family: Bacterial small subunit ribosomal RNA
Source: RNAcentral
UAAGGAAUAUUGGACAAUGGAGGCAACUCUGAUCCAGCCAUGCCGCGUGAAGGAAUAAGGCCCUAUGGGUUGUAAACUUCUUUUAGACGGGACAAAACCCCUUUACGUGUAAAGGGUUGAUGGUACUGUCAGAAUAAGCAUCGGCUAACUUCGUGCCAGCAGCCGCGGUAAUACGGAGGGUGCAAGCGUUAUCCGGAUUCACUGGGUUUAAAGGGUGCGUAGGUGGGCAGAUAAGUCAGUGGUGAAAUCUUCCGGCUUAACCGGGAAACUGCCGUUGAUAUUAUUUGUCUUGAAUAUUGCGGAGGUAAGCGGAAUAUGUCAUGUAGCGGUGAAAUGCUUAGAUAUGACAUAGAACACCAAUUGCGAAGGCAGCUUACUACACAAUCAUUGACACUGAGGCACGAAAGCGUGGGUAGCGAACA